This 2902-nucleotide ribosomal RNA is filed under the name Klebsiella pneumoniae. RNAcentral describes it as "23S ribosomal RNA". It matches the Rfam family "Bacterial large subunit ribosomal RNA". The record is from RNAcentral. Lineage: Bacteria; Pseudomonadati; Pseudomonadota; Gammaproteobacteria; Enterobacterales; Enterobacteriaceae.
GGUUAAGCGACUAAGCGUACACGGUGGAUGCCCUGGCAGUCAGAGGCGAUGAAGGACGUGCUAAUCUGCGAAAAGCGUCGGUAAGGUGAUAUGAACCGUUAUAACCGGCGAUGUCCGAAUGGGGAAACCCAGUGUGAUUCGUCACACUAUCGUUAACUGAAUACAUAGGUUAACGAGGCGAACCGGGGGAACUGAAACAUCUAAGUACCCCGAGGAAAAGAAAUCAACCGAGAUUCCCCCAGUAGCGGCGAGCGAACGGGGAGCAGCCCAGAGUCUGAAUCAGCUUGUGUGUUAGUGGAACGGUCUGGAAAGUCCGACGGUACAGGGUGAUAGUCCCGUACACCAAAAUGCACAGGUUGUGAACUCGAAGAGUAGGGCGGGACACGUGGUAUCCUGUCUGAAUAUGGGGGGACCAUCCUCCAAGGCUAAAUACUCCUGACUGACCGAUAGUGAACCAGUACCGUGAGGGAAAGGCGAAAAGAACCCCGGCGAGGGGAGUGAAAAAGAACCUGAAACCGUGUACGUACAAGCAGUGGGAGCACCUUCGGGUGUGACUGCGUACCUUUUGUAUAAUGGGUCAGCGACUUAUAUUCUGUAGCAAGGUUAACCGUAUAGGGGAGCCGCAGGGAAACCGAGUCUUAACUGGGCGUUAAGUUGCAGGGUAUAGACCCGAAACCCGGUGAUCUAGCCAUGGGCAGGUUGAAGGUUGGGUAACACUAACUGGAGGACCGAACCGACUAAUGUUGAAAAAUUAGCGGAUGACUUGUGGCUGGGGGUGAAAGGCCAAUCAAACCGGGAGAUAGCUGGUUCUCCCCGAAAGCUAUUUAGGUAGCGCCUCGUGAAUUCAUCUUCGGGGGUAGAGCACUGUUUCGGCUAGGGGGUCAUCCCGACUUACCAACCCGAUGCAAACUACGAAUACCGAAGAAUGUUAUCACGGGAGACACACGGCGGGUGCUAACGUCCGUCGUGAAGAGGGAAACAACCCAGACCGCCAGCUAAGGUCCCAAAGUCAUGGUUAAGUGGGAAACGAUGUGGGAAGGCACAGACAGCCAGGAUGUUGGCUUAGAAGCAGCCAUCAUUUAAAGAAAGCGUAAUAGCUCACUGGUCGAGUCGGCCUGCGCGGAAGAUGUAACGGGGCUAAACCAUGCACCGAAGCUGCGGCAGCGACACUAUGUGUUGUUGGGUAGGGGAGCGUUCUGUAAGCCUGCGAAGGUGUGCUGUGAGGCAUGCUGGAGGUAUCAGAAGUGCGAAUGCUGACAUAAGUAACGAUAAAGCGGGUGAAAAGCCCGCUCGCCGGAAGACCAAGGGUUCCUGUCCAACGUUAAUCGGGGCAGGGUGAGUCGACCCCUAAGGCGAGGCCGAAAGGCGUAGUCGAUGGGAAACAGGUUAAUAUUCCUGUACUUGGUGUUACUGCGAAGGGGGGACGGAGAAGGCUAUGUUAGCCGGGCGACGGUUGUCCCGGUUUAAGCAUGUAGGCUGGUUGUCCAGGCAAAUCCGGAUAAUCAAGGCUGAGGUGUGAUGACGAGGCACUACGGUGCUGAAGUAACAAAUGCCCUGCUUCCAGGAAAAGCCUCUAAGCAUCAGGUAACAUCAAAUCGUACCCCAAACCGACACAGGUGGUCAGGUAGAGAAUACCAAGGCGCUUGAGAGAACUCGGGUGAAGGAACUAGGCAAAAUGGUGCCGUAACUUCGGGAGAAGGCACGCUGGUGUGUAGGUGAAGUCCCUGCGGAUGGAGCUGAGACCAGUCGAAGAUACCAGCUGGCUGCAACUGUUUAUUAAAAACACAGCACUGUGCAAACACGAAAGUGGACGUAUACGGUGUGACGCCUGCCCGGUGCCGGAAGGUUAAUUGAUGGGGUUAUCCGUAAGGAGAAGCUCUUGAUCGAAGCCCCGGUAAACGGCGGCCGUAACUAUAACGGUCCUAAGGUAGCGAAAUUCCUUGUCGGGUAAGUUCCGACCUGCACGAAUGGCGUAAUGAUGGCCAGGCUGUCUCCACCCGAGACUCAGUGAAAUUGAACUCGCUGUGAAGAUGCAGUGUACCCGCGGCAAGACGGAAAGACCCCGUGAACCUUUACUAUAGCUUGACACUGAACAUUGAGCCUUGAUGUGUAGGAUAGGUGGGAGGCUUUGAAGCGUGGACGCCAGUCUGCGUGGAGCCAACCUUGAAAUACCACCCUUUAAUGUUUGAUGUUCUAACGUUGGCCCCUGACCGGGGUUGCGGACAGUGUCUGGUGGGUAGUUUGACUGGGGCGGUCUCCUCCCAAAGCGUAACGGAGGAGCACGAAGGUUAGCUAAUCCUGGUCGGACAUCAGGAGGUUAGUGCAAUGGCAUAAGCUAGCUUGACUGCGAGCGUGACGGCGCGAGCAGGUGCGAAAGCAGGUCAUAGUGAUCCGGUGGUUCUGAAUGGAAGGGCCAUCGCUCAACGGAUAAAAGGUACUCCGGGGAUAACAGGCUGAUACCGCCCAAGAGUUCAUAUCGACGGCGGUGUUUGGCACCUCGAUGUCGGCUCAUCACAUCCUGGGGCUGAAGUAGGUCCCAAGGGUAUGGCUGUUCGCCAUUUAAAGUGGUACGCGAGCUGGGUUUAGAACGUCGUGAGACAGUUCGGUCCCUAUCUGCCGUGGGCGCUGGAGAAUUGAGGGGGGCUGCUCCUAGUACGAGAGGACCGGAGUGGACGCAUCACUGGUGUUCGGGUUGUCAUGCCAAUGGCACUGCCCGGUAGCUAAAUGCGGAAGAGAUAAGUGCUGAAAGCAUCUAAGCACGAAACUUGCCCCGAGAUGAGUUCUCCCUGAGACUUUAAGUCUCCUGAAGGAACGUUAAAGACGAUGACGUUGAUAGGCCGGGUGUGUAAGCGCAGCGAUGCGUUGAGCUAACCGGUACUAAUGAACCGUGAGGCUUAACCUU